Molecule: long non-coding RNA, 359 nt
Organism: Epinephelus fuscoguttatus (brown-marbled grouper)
Lineage: Eukaryota; Metazoa; Chordata; Actinopteri; Perciformes; Serranidae
Exons: 3
Source: RefSeq, a predicted model, not a curated record
UGAGAGGCAGAACGAUUCUGACAGGAUUUAUGAGUCUGAAGGAAACUUUGAAGAUGAAAACUUUGAGGUUAAUGGCAGAAAAUUAAUGAAGCUGGAUGGAAAGACAAAACUUCCAGUAACAUCCCAGUAAAAAUAAGAUAUGAAAACUCAAGGGGACUGACAACUGAUAACUGACAACUCACGAUGAGCUGUCAUCCUGCUGCUGCCGCCCAUCGAUCCGAUCACCUGUAUUGAUAACGGAGUGAAACACAUCACACACAUCACAGCUGGACUGCUCCGAGGGGACGCAGCGCUCCGACAGUGAGAAACAACAUGGAGCCACUUAUUUUCUACACGUGAACACGUCAGGGCUCGUGACA